CGGAAAUACGCACCAAAGACCAAGUGACUCUCAGACACCAAAGACCCUUGUCCUCUUUGACACCAUCAGUUCACCAGAUGGACAAGUUGUGUGUAGCUCUCAUCACACUCUUUUGUGCUGUUUCCUCCAGUCAGGAUGGGAUCUCUGGAUCUGAGGUGGUUCUGUUAGUCAGACCAGGAGACAACAUCACUCUAUACUGUGACUGCAGAACAUCCACUGGUGUAUCCAUCACAUGGUUCAGGAACUGUUCUCAUGAGCACCAACCUACCCUGGUUAUUAGCAUUCAGGACAGUUUUAGAGAUCCGGAGAAGUUUGAAAAUAGUCAAAACCCUUUUCCACGGUUCAAACUGCAAUGGAACCCCUCUAACAACACCUAUGAUCUACUGAUUGAGAACAUCACUGGAUCUGACCUGGGACUCUACCACUGUGGGACUGAGGAGACUAAGCUGGUGGAUGAAGGAGGGAAAGGAGGUGUUAAAAAGAAGGUGUUGUACCUCUAUGGAAACGUCACCAAUAGACUUUCAUUUGAGGUCAUCCCAGAGGUCAUCCAAGUGACUGAAGACUGUGGUCUGUGUUGGAUUCUGAUGUUCAGUCUGUGUCCUGUGUCUGUUCUCCUCUCUUCUCUCCUCUCCUCCUUCUGUGUUUACUCCUUCUGCAGAAAAACAGCUCCAAAUGAGACUUCAGUUCCUCUGAACAGGACGUCGACUAGGGGAAGUGACAGUAGAGAGAAGGAGGAAGAAGACCUGUGUUAUGCCUCAUUGGACAUCCGUCAAGGACAGAAGAGACCAAAGAAGAAGAAUAAAAUCCAGAACUCUGACUUCAGUACCUACUCAGCCAUCAAUACCAUGAGAGUGUGACCUACACCAGCCAUCAAUUCCAUGAGAGUGUGACCUACACCAGCCAUCAAUACCAUGAGAGUGUGACCUAUACCAGCCACAAUACCAGCAGACUGUGACAUAUACUAGCCAUCAAUACCAGCAGACUGUGACCUAUACCUGCAUCCAAUACCAGCAGAAUGUGACAUAUACUAGCCAUCAAUACCAGCAAUAUGUGGGAACUAUACCAGUCAUCAGCAG
Molecule: long non-coding RNA, 1076 nt
Organism: Esox lucius (northern pike)
Lineage: Eukaryota; Metazoa; Chordata; Actinopteri; Esociformes; Esocidae
Source: Ensembl